This 305-nucleotide ribosomal RNA is filed under the name uncultured bacterium. Its description in RNAcentral is "bacterial SSU rRNA". It matches the Rfam family "Bacterial small subunit ribosomal RNA", at positions 334 to 653 of the family's 1533-position model. The record is from RNAcentral.
GUGGCCUACGGGACGCAGCAGUGGGGAAUAUUGGACAAUGGGGGGAACCCUGAUCCAGCGACGCCGCGUGAGUGAAGAAGUAUUUCGGUAUGUAAAGCUCUAUCAGCAGGGAAGAAAGAAAUGACGGUACCUGACUAAGAAGCCCCGGCUAACUACGUGCCAGCAGCCGCGGUAAUACGUAGGGGGCAAGCGUUAUCCGGAUUUACUGGGUGUAAAGGGAGCGUAGACGGCGAUGCAAGUCUGAAGUGAAAGGCGGGGGCCCAACCACGGGACUGCAUUGGGAACUACCGGGCUGGAGUGCCGGG